UGGGGAAUAUUGGACAAUGGGCGAAAGCCUGAUCCAGCCAUGCCGCGUGUGUGAAGAAGGUCUUCGGAUUGUAAAGCACUUUAAGUUGGGAGGAAGGGCAGUUACCUAAUACGUGAUUGUUUUGACGUUACCGACAGAAUAAGCACCGGCUAACUCUGUGCCAGCAGCCGCGGUAAUACAGAGGGUGCAAGCGUUAAUCGGAAUUACUGAGCGUAAAGCGCGCGUAGGUGGUUAGUUAAGUUGGAUGUGAAAUCCCCGGGCUCAACCUGGGAACUGCAUUCAAAACUGACAAGCUAGAGUAUGGUAGAGGGUGGUGGAAUUUCCUGUGUAGCGGUGAAAUGCGUAGAUAUAGGAAGGAACACCAGUGGCGAAGGCGACCACCUGGACUGAUACUGACACUGAGGUGCGAAAGCGUGGGGAGCAAACAGGAUUAGAUACCCUUGUAGUCCCUGAGCGGGCUGGCAAGGCGCAU
Molecule: ribosomal RNA, 472 nt
Filed under: uncultured bacterium
Lineage: Bacteria
Description: bacterial SSU rRNA
Rfam family: Bacterial small subunit ribosomal RNA
Source: RNAcentral